Molecule: transfer RNA, 73 nt
Filed under: Vicugna pacos (alpaca)
Lineage: Eukaryota; Metazoa; Chordata; Mammalia; Artiodactyla; Camelidae
Description: tRNA-Ala (AGC) (tRNA-Ala-AGC-662-1)
Rfam family: tRNA
About the family: Transfer RNA (tRNA) molecules are approximately 80 nucleotides in length. Their secondary structure includes four short double-helical elements and three loops (D, anti-codon, and T loops).
Source: RNAcentral
GGAGGAUAUAGCUCAGUGGUAGAGUGCCUGCUUAGCAUGCAUGAGGUCCUGGGUUCAAUCCCCAGUAUCUCUA